AUUCCAGACUCCUACGGGAGGCAGCAGUGGGGAAUAUUGGGCAAUGGGCGCAAGCCUGACCCAGCAACGCCGCGUGAAGGAAGAAGGCUUUCGGGUUGUAAACUUCUUUUCUGGGGGACGAAGAAAGUGACGGUACCCCAGGAAUAAGCCACGGCUAACUACGUGCCAGCAGCCGCGGUAAUACGGAGGAUCCGAGUGUUAUCCGGAUUUAUUGGGUUUAAAGGGUGCGUAGGCUGUGAGGUAAGUCAGCGGUGAAAUGCCCCCGCUCAACGGGGUGAAGUGCCAUUGAUACUGCCUUGCUGGAAUGCGGAUGCCGUGGGAGGAAUGUGUGGUGUAGCGGUGAAAUGCAUAGAUAUCACACAGAACACCGAUUGCGAAGGCAUCUCACGAAGCCGCGAUUGACGCUGAUGCACGAAAGCGUGGGUAUCAAACAGGAUUAGAUACCCGUGUAC
Molecule: ribosomal RNA, 452 nt
Filed under: uncultured bacterium
Lineage: Bacteria
Description: bacterial SSU rRNA
Rfam family: Bacterial small subunit ribosomal RNA
Source: RNAcentral